Molecule: ribosomal RNA, 807 nt
Filed under: Cellulomonas sp.
Lineage: Bacteria; Bacillati; Actinomycetota; Actinomycetes; Micrococcales; Cellulomonadaceae
Description: bacterial SSU rRNA
Rfam family: Bacterial small subunit ribosomal RNA
Source: RNAcentral
CGGUGAUCUCGGUGCUUGCACCGGGUGAUCAGUGGCGAACGGGUGAGUAACACGUGAGCAACCUGCCCCUGACUCUGGGAUAACCCCGAGAAAUCGGAGCUAAUACCGGAUACGAGACGCACGGGCAUCCGUAGCGUCUGGAAAGAAUUUUGGUCAGGGAUGGGCUCGCGGCCUAUCAGCUUGUUGGUGGGGUAACGGCCCACCAAGGCGACGACGGGUAGCCGGCCUGAGAGGGCGACCGGCCACACUGGGACUGAGACACGGCCCAGACUCCUACGGGAGGCAGCAGUGGGGAAUAUUGCACAAUGGGCGAAAGCCUGAUGCAGCGACGCCGCGUGGGGGAUGAAGGCCUUCGGGUUGUAAACCCCUUUCAGCAGGGAAGAAGCGAAAGUGACGGUACCUGCAGAAGAAGCGCCGGCUAACUACGUGCCAGCAGCCGCGGUAAUACGUAGGGCGCAAGCGUUGUCCGGAAUUAUUGGGCGUAAAGAGCUCGUAGGCGGUUUGUCGCGUCUGCUGUGAAAACCCGAGGCUCAACCUCGGGCCUGCAGUGGGUACGGGCAGACUAGAGUGCGGUAGGGGAGACUGGAAUUCCUGGUGUAGCGGUGGAAUGCGCAGAUAUCAGGAGGAACACCGAUGGCGAAGGCAGGUCUCUGGGCCGCAACUGACGCUGAGGAGCGAAAGCAUGGGGAGCGAACAGGAUUAGAUACCCUGGUAGUCCAUGCCGUAAACGUUGGGCACUAGGUGUGGGGCUCAUUCCACGAGUUCCGUGCCGCAGCAAACGCAUUAAGUGCCCCGCCUGGGGAGUAC